CCCUGCCACUUUAGCAUUUUAAAUUCUGUGUUUAUAUGAGAGCAGAUGUUUUAAUUACUCACUGAAGCUAAGUGGGGUUGAGCCUGGUUAGUACCUGGAUGGAAGACCACACGGAAAAACUAGGUUGCUGUUGGAA
RNAcentral lists this ribosomal RNA (136 nucleotides) under Danio rerio (zebrafish). Lineage: Eukaryota; Metazoa; Chordata; Actinopteri; Cypriniformes; Danionidae. The record is from RNAcentral.